AUACGGAGGGUGCAAGCGUUAUUCGGAAUUACUGGGCGUAAAGCGCGCGUAGGCUGCUUUGUAAGUCAGGGGUGAAAUCCCACGGCUCAACCGUGGAACUGCCUUUGAAACUGCGAAGCUUGAAUCCUGGAGAGGGUGGCGGAAUUCCUGGUGUAGGAGUGAAAUCCGUAGAUAUCAGGAGGAACACCGGUGGCGAAGGCGGCCACCUGGACAGGUAUUGACGCUGAGGUGCGAAAGUGUGGGGAGC
RNAcentral lists this ribosomal RNA (247 nucleotides) under uncultured bacterium. RNAcentral's name for it is "partial 16S ribosomal RNA". It matches the Rfam family "Bacterial small subunit ribosomal RNA", at positions 523 to 769 of the family's 1533-position model. The record is from RNAcentral.